RNAcentral lists this long non-coding RNA (263 nucleotides) under Salvia miltiorrhiza (redroot sage). Its description in RNAcentral is "long non-coding RNA (SMIL_LNC003195)". The record is from RNAcentral. Lineage: Eukaryota; Viridiplantae; Streptophyta; Magnoliopsida; Lamiales; Lamiaceae.
AGGUCAGUGAUUUUGGAGCGGCGUGGCGGAAUGGGUGUGGUGAAGUUACUUUCGUACUUUUGGUUCCGCUGCAAACGUUGGACUUUAAAUUCGUUAAAUUUCUUUGAGUUGUUUUGAAGUUAAGCGUGCUUUUGUUUUAUGAAGGUCUUUGUUAAUUGAUUUAACUUUAUUGGUGAAUGAAGACCUUGACGUACAAGUAUUUGGUCGUUCAAGGCUUGGUAGACGUUUUUCUGAAACUGAACUUAUUUUGUGGAUUUGGUGUU